GACGAACGCUGGCGGCGUGCCUAAUACAUGCAAGUAGAACGCUGAAGAGAGGAGCUUGCUCUUCUUGGAUGAGUUGCGAACGGGUGAGUAACGCGUAGGUAACCUGCCUUGUAGCGGGGGAUAACUAUUGGAAACGAUAGCUAAUACCGCAUAACAAUGGAUGACACAUGUCAUUUAUUUGAAAGGGGCAAUUGCUCCACUACAAGAUGGACCUGCGUUGUAUUAGCUAGUAGGUGAGGUAACGGCUCACCUAGGCGACGAUACAUAGCCGACCUGAGAGGGUGAUCGGCCACACUGGGACUGAGACACGGCCCAGACUCCUACGGGAGGCAGCAGUAGGGAAUCUUCGGCAAUGGGGGCAACCCUGACCGAGCAACGCCGCGUGAGUGAAGAAGGUUGUCGGAUCGUAAAGCUCUGUUGUAAGUCAAGAACGAGUGUGAGAGUGGAAAGUUUACACUGUGACGGUAGCUUACCAGAAAGGGACGGCUAACUACGUG
RNAcentral lists this ribosomal RNA (497 nucleotides) under uncultured bacterium. RNAcentral describes it as "partial 16S ribosomal RNA". It matches the Rfam family "Bacterial small subunit ribosomal RNA", at positions 28 to 507 of the family's 1533-position model. The record is from RNAcentral.